This 72-nucleotide transfer RNA is filed under the name Ovis aries (sheep). It matches the Rfam family "tRNA". Rfam says of the family: Transfer RNA (tRNA) molecules are approximately 80 nucleotides in length. Their secondary structure includes four short double-helical elements and three loops (D, anti-codon, and T loops). Further hydrogen bonds mediate the characteristic L-shaped molecular structure. tRNAs have two regions of fundamental functional importance: the anti-codon, which is responsible for specific mRNA codon recognition, and the 3' end, to which the tRNAs corresponding amino acid is attached (by aminoacyl-tRNA synthetases). tRNAs cope with the degeneracy of the genetic code in two manners: having more than one tRNA (with a specific anti-codon) for a particular amino acid; and 'wobble' base-pairing, i.e. permitting non-standard base-pairing at the 3rd anti-codon position. The record is from Rfam by way of RNAcentral. Lineage: Eukaryota; Metazoa; Chordata; Mammalia; Artiodactyla; Bovidae.
UUCCAGGUGGCUCAGACGGUAAAGCGUCUGCCUCCAAUGUGGAAGACCCAGGUUCGAUCCCUGGGUCGGGAA